AAUACGACUCUCGGCAACGGAUAUCUCGGCUCUCGCAUCGAUGAAGAACGUAGCGAAAUGCGAUACUUGGUGUGAAUUGCAGAAUCCCGUGAACCAUCGAGUCUUUGAACGCAAGUUGCGCCCCAAGCCGUUAGGUUGAGGGCACGUCUGCCUGGGUGUCACGC
RNAcentral lists this ribosomal RNA (164 nucleotides) under Aglaia rimosa. RNAcentral's name for it is "5.8S ribosomal RNA". It matches the Rfam family "5.8S ribosomal RNA". Rfam says of the family: 5.8S ribosomal RNA (5.8S rRNA) is a component of the large subunit of the eukaryotic ribosome. It is transcribed by RNA polymerase I as part of the 45S precursor that also contains 18S and 28S rRNA. Functionally, it is thought that 5.8S rRNA may be involved in ribosome translocation. Lineage: Eukaryota; Viridiplantae; Streptophyta; Magnoliopsida; Sapindales; Meliaceae. The record is from RNAcentral.